UUGCAAUAUGGUUGGUAUUUAUACAUCGUAUUUCGAGGUUUCAUAAAUAUUCAACAAAUUGCAGGAAACUAGAAAUUUGUAAAGGAUUCCACAUAAAUAGUUUGUCAAAGAAAUUCUGAAAAGAUGCAAUUGAGACAUCAUCCAUGGGAAGUGCACAGGCUCGGGACCACACAGUUGUCUGUCUCAUCUCAGCAAUUAUAAGAUCAUAAAAAUCAUAUAUUUUCUUUGAUGUAUCCGAAUUGUCCUUAGGUAGGGAUUUCAAUUUAUACCGAUUAUGUACAAUUUAAAUAUGCAUUAUCUUUAGUCAGCCAUAAAUUUGUGUGCAUAUGUAUGCGUACAUAAGUAUAUGAUGUUAUAUUACCUGUAAAAUUACCUACCGAUGUUUUUUCAUUUAUUGGAACGUGCCCACAGAUGAAGCCAUUUACUUGGAUUUGUAGAGUUCGGUUCGGGUGUAAUAAAGUAAAAUAGAAUUUUUAUUUUAUUCCGCUUUAUGACUCUACCUUUCCUCUCGAUGCACUUAACUGCAAUUAUUACAUCCGUUGCUUUUCGGUGGGGUCUACAAUACCCAUUUAUGUUCUAGUUACCAAGUUAACGAAGAUAUUUCAUGAGCAUGGUUGGACAAAAAAUAUAAUAAAUUAUAAAUAUGUAUCCAUAAAUA
Molecule: long non-coding RNA, 658 nt
Organism: Folsomia candida
Lineage: Eukaryota; Metazoa; Arthropoda; Collembola; Entomobryomorpha; Isotomidae
Exons: 2
Source: RefSeq, a predicted model, not a curated record